RNAcentral lists this long non-coding RNA (1107 nucleotides) under Phascolarctos cinereus (koala). RNAcentral's name for it is "lncRNA (ENSPCIG00000029625.2)". The record is from RNAcentral. Lineage: Eukaryota; Metazoa; Chordata; Mammalia; Diprotodontia; Phascolarctidae.
GCAAAUUAGGUGCGGGUCCUCCAGCUCUCUCCGCCCCGAGGCUCUAUUCCUGUCAUACCCUGCUUAGUGAACAAGCUUGCUCUCUCUCAGAGCUUGCUGUAGUUUCUGAACAGAGCAGAGCUCUCACUCAGAGUAAAGGUCUUUCUACUCUUCGGGAUACCAUCGAGAUCUUCUUUCUCCUUAGAGACGGGACUCAGCCCUAGGACUGAUUGUCCACUCCCCUCGCUUUCUCUCCCUGGCCUCUCAAGGGCAUAGGGUUCCUGAAAAGUGAGGGGAAGAGAGGACUGCACAGCCCCCAGGAAAAGGGAAGGGGGAGGAGGCUGAAUGAAUAACAGGAGCGUGGUUGGAGGGAAGGUGGAGGCUGCAAGGGGAAUGCAGGUUGAGAGUGAGGGGUGGGAAUGUUUGUGUGACUGUAAGCUCUGCCCUGAAUAGCAAAGGGUCCGCAGGGCGCCCCGAAGGAAGGCAGGUCCGGGAUUGGGGUACAAGGCACUCUUACCUCCUCUCUUCCUGCCGAGGGAACUUGCCCAGCCCUUUUCCCCAGCCUGGGACCCCGGGAACUGACAGCUUUUUCUCCCGCACCUGUUUCCCUCCUGCUCUCUUCUGAGCUCUCUCUCCCUUCCCUUCGGGGCUUCCCAUCUAGUUUGGUGUACUUUCUCUACAGCGGCUGGACCAGCCUGGGUGGCAGAAAUCACUUGGCACGGUAGCUCGGGGGAGCCGCCCUCCUCUCCAUAUGAAAAGAGGCUUGGCUCCUGCUGCGCCCGGCUGCUGAGGAGGCAGUGCAGAAAGAGAGAAGCCAGGGCCAAGGGAGUGACUCCGGACUCAACUCUGGGAAUUUCCUCCCACUGGCCCUGGGCACUAGACUGGACGGGACGAACUGGACGGGACUGCGUCUUCCGGGAUAUUCCGGGUCCCCUGAAGCUUGGCUCCUUUCCAUCUGACUGCAGCCAAGAGGAUAAGAGGGGAGAAGAACAAGCGGGCUCGAAGUGCAACCUGGGGAUGACACCUCCUUUGGAAAAGCAGUGCACUCGCAGGAGACCAGUAGAGUUCUGAAACAAAAAGACAACAACUGGAAAAUGGUAUAUGUGCUUAGAGCUUAGCUACUUCUAG